AGAGGAGCCUGUUCUAUAAUCGAUAAUCCCCGAUAAACCUCACCACCUAUUGCCAAUACAGCCUAUAUACCACCGUCCAGCCCGCCCUUUAAAGGAUAAACAGCAGGCAUAAUUAUAAACAUUAAAACGUCAGGUCAAGGUGUAGCAGAUAAGGUGGAAAGAAAUGGGCUACAUUUUCUAACUUAGAAAACACGGAUGAUUCUAUGAAAUAGUUUCUGAAGGAGGAUUUAGCAGUAAAAAGAAACAAGAAUGUUCUUUUUAAGACGGCAAUAAAGCGCGCACACACCGCCCGUCACCCUC
Molecule: ribosomal RNA, 300 nt
Filed under: Salamandra atra
Lineage: Eukaryota; Metazoa; Chordata; Amphibia; Caudata; Salamandridae
Description: partial 12S ribosomal RNA
Source: RNAcentral